Molecule: transfer RNA, 83 nt
Filed under: Candidatus Roizmanbacteria bacterium
Lineage: Bacteria; Candidatus Roizmaniibacteriota
Description: tRNA-Leu
Rfam family: tRNA
About the family: Transfer RNA (tRNA) molecules are approximately 80 nucleotides in length. Their secondary structure includes four short double-helical elements and three loops (D, anti-codon, and T loops).
Source: RNAcentral
GCGGGGGUGGCGGAAUGGCAGACGCACAAGACUUAAAAUCUUGCGAUGACAACAUCGUGAGGGUUCGACUCCCUCUCCCCGCA